CCCUGGUUAGCUCAGUUGAUAGAACGCUCCACUGUGAACGGAGAGGUCCCGGGCUCGAUACCCGAACCAGGCG
RNAcentral lists this transfer RNA (73 nucleotides) under Ixodes scapularis (black-legged tick). It matches the Rfam family "tRNA". From Rfam's summary of the family: Transfer RNA (tRNA) molecules are approximately 80 nucleotides in length. Their secondary structure includes four short double-helical elements and three loops (D, anti-codon, and T loops). The record is from Rfam by way of RNAcentral. Lineage: Eukaryota; Metazoa; Arthropoda; Arachnida; Ixodida; Ixodidae.